RNAcentral lists this ribosomal RNA (465 nucleotides) under uncultured bacterium. Its description in RNAcentral is "partial 16S ribosomal RNA". It matches the Rfam family "Bacterial small subunit ribosomal RNA", at positions 28 to 507 of the family's 1533-position model. The record is from RNAcentral.
GACGAACGCUGGCGGCGUGCUUAACACAUGCAAGUCGUACGGUAAGGCCCUUUCGGGGGUACACGAGUGGCGAACGGGGGAGUAACACGUGAGUAACCUGCCCACAACUUUGGGAUAACGCUAGGAAACUGGUGCUAAUACUGGAUAUGUGCCCCUGCUGCAUGGUGGGGGUUGGAAAGCUCCGGCGGUUGUGGAUGGACUCGCGGCCUAUCAGCUUGUUGGUGGGGUAGUGGCCUACCAAGGCGGCGGCGGGUAGCCGGCCUGUGAGGGUGACCGGCCACAUUGGGACUGAGAUGCGGCCCAGACUCCUACGGGAGGCAGCAGGGGGGAAGAUUGCACAAUGGGCGCAAGCCUGAUGCAGCAACGCCGCGUGCGGGAUGACGGCCUUCGGGUUGUAAACCGCUUUCAGCAGGGACGAAGCUUUUUGUGACGGUACCUGCAGAAGAAGCACCGGCUAACUACGUG